Molecule: ribosomal RNA, 559 nt
Filed under: uncultured bacterium
Lineage: Bacteria
Description: bacterial SSU rRNA
Rfam family: Bacterial small subunit ribosomal RNA
Source: RNAcentral
CCUACGGGAGGCAGCAGUGGGGAAUAUUGGACAAUGGGCGAAAGCCUGAUCCAGCAAUGCCGCGUGAGUGAUGAAGGCCUUCGGGUCGUAAAGCUCUUUUACCAGGGAUGAUAAUGACAGUACCUGGAGAAUAAGCUCCGGCUAACUCCGUGCCAGCAGCCGCGGUAAUACGGAGGGAGCUAGCGUUGUUCGGAAUUACUGGGCGUAAAGAGUACGUAGGCGGUUAUUCAAGUCAGAGGUGAAAGCCCGGGGCUCAACCCCGGAACUGCCUUUGAAACUAGAUAACUAGAGUCUUGGAGAGGUUAGUGGAAUUCCGAGUGUAGAGGUGAAAUUCGUAGAUAUUCGGAAGAACACCAGUGGCGAAGGCGACUAACUGGACAAGUACUGACGCUGAGGUACGAAAGCGUGGGGAGCAAACAGGAUUAGAUACCCUGGUAGUCCACGCCGUAAACGAUGAUAACUAGUUGUUCGGUCACUUGGUGACUGAGUGACGCAGCUAACGCAUUAAGUUAUCCGCCUGGGGAGUACGGUCGCAAGAUUAAAACUCAAAAUGAUAGAG